This 482-nucleotide ribosomal RNA is filed under the name uncultured bacterium. RNAcentral describes it as "bacterial SSU rRNA". It matches the Rfam family "Bacterial small subunit ribosomal RNA", at positions 36 to 507 of the family's 1533-position model. The record is from RNAcentral.
CUGGCGGCAUGCCUAACACAUGCAAGUCGAACGGCAGCACAGCAGUAGCAAUACUGUGGGUGGCGAGUGGCGGACGGGUGAGGAAUACGUCGGAAUCUGCCCAGUCGUGGGGGAUAACUAGCCGAAAGGUUAGCUAAUACCGCAUACGACCGAGAGGUGAAAGCGGGGGACCGCAAGGCCUCGCGCGAUUGGAUGAGCCGACGUCGGAUUAGCUAGUUGGCGGGGUAAAGGCCCACCAAGGCGACGAUCCGUAGCUGGUCUGAGAGGAUGAUCAGCCACACUGGAACUGAGACACGGUCCAGACUCCUACGGGAGGCAGCAGUGGGGAAUAUUGGACAAUGGGCGCAAGCCUGAUCCAGCAAUGCCGCGUGUGUGAAGAAGGCCUUCGGGUUGUAAAGCACUUUUAUCAGGAACGAAAAGCGUUGGAUUAAUACUCUGACGUGCUGACGGUACCUGAGGAAUAAGCACCGGCUAACUUCGUG